AGUGAACGCUGGCGGUAGGCCUAACACAUGCAAGUCGAACGGCAGCACAGUAAGAGCUUGCUCUUACGGGUGGCGAGUGGCGGACGGGUGAGGAAUACAUCGGAAUCUACUUUUUCGUGGGGGAUGACGUAGGGAAACUUACGCUAAUACCGCAUACGACCUACGGGUGAAAGCAGGGGAUCUUCGUACCUUGCGCGAUUGAAUGAGCCGAUGCCGGAUUAGCUAGUUGGCGGGGUAAAGGCCCACCACGGCGACGAUCCGUAGCUGGUCUGAGAGGAUGAUCAGCCACACUGGAACUGAGACACGGUCCAGACUCCUACGGGAGGCAGCAGUGGGGAAUAUUGGACAAUGGGCGCAAGCCUGAUCCAGCCAUACCGCGUGGGUGAAGAAGGCCUUCGGGUUGUAAAGCCCUUUUGUUGGGAAAGAAAAGCAGCAGGUUAAUACCCCGCUGUUCUGACGGUACCCAAAGAAUAAGCACCGGCUAACUUCGUG
Molecule: ribosomal RNA, 492 nt
Filed under: uncultured bacterium
Lineage: Bacteria
Description: partial 16S ribosomal RNA
Rfam family: Bacterial small subunit ribosomal RNA
Source: RNAcentral